AGCGAACAGCAUCGUGAAAACACGUCCUCUCUCCUCAAAAGCGAAAGUAGAGAGAAAGAACAAAGGCUUGAGGCUCUCGGAAAUGACGCAGAAGUUCCCCCCUCCCAACAGUAGGCAGAGCGUACACUCUGAGCUGUUUAACCCUGUAAGCUCAGGUUCUCCUCACAGAGCACCCUUUGGGUUCGGUCAGUCAGCCAGUUACAAAUCCACUGAGUGGUAGCAUAGUCAAGACCGCAUUUUACCAGCUUCUUUACAAGAAUAUCAUGGGGCUCCUUGUCAAAUGCCUUGCUGAAAUCAAGGUAGGCUACAUCCACUGCGUUCCCUUCAUCUAGCAGGCUUGUAAUUCUGUCAAAAAACGAGAUCAGGUUAGUCUGACAUGACUUAUUUUUCAGAAAUCCAUGCUGACUAUUGGUGAUCACAGCAUUCCUUUCUAGGUGCUCACAGACUGUUUGCUUAAUGAUCUGCUCCAGAAUCUUCCCUGGUAUUGAUGUCAGACUGAGUGGGCGGUAAUUAUUUGGGUCCUCUCUUUUCCCCUUUUUGAAAAUAGGGACAACAUUUGCCCUCCUCUAGUCUGCCGGGACUUCGCCUGUUCUCCAGGAAUUCUCAAAGAUGACUGACAGUGGUUCUGAGAUCACAUCUGCCAGUUCUUUUAAUACUCUUGGAUGCAGUUCAUCUGACCCUGGAGACUUGAAUUCAUCUAAACUAGCCAAGUAUUCUUGUACUAUCUCCUUAGUUCUUCUGGGCUGUGUUUCCUCUGCUGAAUCAUUUGCUCCAAAUUCUUUAGGUCGGGCAUUGUUUUCUUUAUCGGAGAAGACUGAGGCAAAGAAGGCAUUGAGGAGUUCAGCCCUUUCUGUGUCCCCUGUUUGCAUUUCACCAUCUUCUCCUCUGAGUGACCCCACUGUUCCUUUGUUCUUCCUUUUGCUACUGAACAUACCCAUAAAAGCCUUUUUGUUGCUUUUAACCUCUCUAGCAAGCCUGAGUUCAUGCUGUGCGUGAGCUUUUCUGACUUUGUGUCUACACGUGCUGGCUAUUUGUUUGAAUUCCUCUUUGGUGGUUUUCCCCCUUUUCCAUUUUUUGUACACAUCCUUUUUUAAUCUUAACUCAGUUAAAAGUUCUUUAGAUAGCCACCCUGGCUUCUUUAGGCACCUUCCAUGUUUCCGUCUCAUUGGUAUUGCCUGAAGUUGUGCGUUUACUAUCUCCCUCUUAACAAACUGCCAGCCAUCAUGAACUCCCUUUCCUUUUAGUAUUACUGUCCAUGGGAUCUCACCCAGCACUUCCCUAAGUUUUAUGAAGUCGGCUUUCUUAAAGUCAAGAAAUUGAGUCCUAGUAUGCUUGCCUGCUCCUUUCCGCUGUAUAGUAAACUUCAGAAGAGCAUGAUCACUCGCGCCUAAUGAUCCUUCCACUUCUACCCCACUAACCAGGUCAUCAACAUUGGUUAGGACCAGAUCUAAAAUGGCUGUUCCUCUUGUUGCUUCUCCCACUUUCUGGAGAAUGAAGUUGUCUGCAAGGCCAGUGAGGAAUCUGUUUGACCUUAUGCUCUUGGCUGAGUUUGACAUCCAACAAAUAUCUGGGUAAUUGAAGUCCCCCAUUACUACUAUCUCCCUUCCUUUUGCAUGCUUGGCCAUCUGUUCCAGGAAGGCAUCAUCUACGUCCUCCGUUUGACUUGGGGAUCUAUAGUAAACUCCCACAAUGAGGUCACUGUUAUUCUUCUCUCCCUUAAUUUUGACCCAAAUGCUCUCACUUUGGCUUUGAGGUUCUAAAUCUUGGAUCUCUUCACAGGUAUACACAUCCUUGACAUAUAACGCCACUCCUCCUCCUUUCUUGUCUGGUCUGUUUCUCUGAAAUAGAUUGUAUCCCUCCAUUAUUACAUUCCAAUCGUGGGACUUAUCUCACCAGGUUUCAGUGAUGCCCAUUAUGUCAUAUUUAGUUUGCUGUACCAAGAGCUCAAGCUCAUCUUGUUUAUUUCCCAUGCUUUGCGCAUUAGUGUACAGACAUUGAAGUCCAUUAAUCAUUCCCCGUGUCUCUUAUUUAAGGAUUUUUCCUCCCACCACUAGGUCUGCGUGCUGUUUGCUCCAUUUGGUCUAUGACAUUUGGAUGAUCAUCUUCAUCAAUUGAUAGACUCCUACCUUCAGGAGCACUGUCUCCCUCCCCACAUUAGUCAGUUUAAAGCCCUCCUGAUGAGGUUUCUGAGAUUUUUGGCAAAAACAUUUCUCCCAACCGUUGUGAGGUGCAGCCCAUCGCUUGCCAGAAGUCCAUCUUCAAGAAACUGCAGUCCGUGAUCUAAGAAUCCAAACCGUUCCUGUUUACACCAUUUGCGAAGCCAGCUGUUCACUUCCACUAUUUUUCCCUCUCUCCCUGGGCCACGUCGUUCAACUGGGAGGACAGAUGAGAUGACAAUUUGUGCAUUUAAUUGCUUCCAUUUCCUGCCCAGAGCCUCGUAGUCUCUUUUGAUCUUCUGGAGGCUAUUGCUUGCAGUGUCAUUGGUUCCCACAUGAACCAAGAGGAAGGGGUAUUUGUCAGUGGGCUUUAUGAUUCCUUGCAGUCGUUCAGUUACAUCUUGGAUCUUAGCCCGGGGAGACAGCACACUUCCCGAGACAUCUUGUCAGGCCCACAGAUCACUGCUUCUGUUCCCCUCAGUAGGGAAUCCCCUAUCACCACUACACGCCUCCUCUUAGGUUUGGUCGGGGUUCUUCCGUGAGCUGUCCGUUCCAAGGUCGCCUGCACAUUCCCUGAGGACUGACUUUGCUGCUCGUCUUCAUAUACCUGAUCGACUGUAAUGAGGAGAGAUCCUCAAAUGGAGUCUGCUCUUCGUCUUCCAUGCUAGGGGAGAGGACCUCAAAGCGAUUGUGUAUUUCUAAACAAUCAGAGCGAACCCUGGGCCUCCUACUUCUUUGAGUCACGUUUCUCCAUAUAUCUGGCUCCUGUGUUGGUGAACUAGCCUCCUUCUCAGGGAGUCCUCUGUCUCCUCCUUGGUGGAGACGGUGUGCUCUGUUGCUUCCAAGAAGAGCUCCAGCUCUCUAAUUCUUUGGAGCGUAGCUACACGUUCCUCCAGUUGCUGGACUUUGUCUUCUAAGAGGGCAAUCAACAUGCAAUUGCUGCAGGUAAAGCUGCCUGCAAUCUUUGGCAAGAUGGCAAACAUUGCGCAGGAACCGCAGGCGACUGCAGCUGUUCCCUCCCCCUCCAUCUUGAGAACGUGUUGUUGGGGGUGGCUACAGCGAUCCUCCAUCAUAAAAAGCAUGAAGACAGGACAAAUAACUCCCCCCCCAAAAAAACCAAAAAACCCCCCAAAAAAACCUAGGUCUCCCCCAACAAACAUUUGAGACUAGCUCCCCUAAAUCUAAAAGAUGGAUCAAACUGCGUGCGCCGCUAGAACACCCUUUUGCUCCUUCUUCAGCUGCUGCCCUGCAAGCUCUGAUAAGCUCCUCCCACAGCUAAUCACCUGCCUCAACAGAAACCCUGCCCCCUCUGACCUUUGCACAGGGAGAGCAGCUAAUCAGCCACAAAGAAACACACACACAAGAAAACCCUUUUUGCUCCUUCAGCUGCUGCCCUGCAAGCUCUGACUGCUGUGGUGAUAUAACUAAAUAGUUCGACUGAUGAUUUCACAGUACAGUAGCUGAAGGAGUCAUUCCCAACAGCAUAGUUUUGGGGUCCAAUGCAAAUUUAGGGUAUUUUUUUACAUUUUUUCAUUUCGAAAUGAACUUUCCUCCAAAACUUUUGGUCUUUUCACAGGUCCACCAUAAAUGGAAGAAGAUUCCUCAAGGUCUAUCACAUUUCCAGCAAUGUCCAUUCAUUGCAUUAUUCAUCUUCUGUAUAUUUUUCAAAGUUAUAUACCAUUGAAAGAACAUUUUUGUACAGUCUUACCUCAUGUUACAGCCGCUUCAGGUUACGUGUUUUUGGGUUGCGGACCGCGGGAAUCCUGGAAGUACCGGAACGGGUUACUUCCGGGUUUCGCCGCUUUCACAUUCGCAGAAGCGCCAAAUUGCGCUGGUGCCUGUGCAGACGUGGCGCUUCAGGAUGCGAACGCUGUGAGUUGCAGAUGUGCCUCGGUCAUGGGUUAUGUCUGCAACCCGAGGUUCCACUGUACCAAUUUUGUUUUAGGGCUUAACUUGCAGUAAAUUUUAUUCCUUUAUUCAUAAUUGUUC
Molecule: non-coding RNA, 4145 nt
Organism: Podarcis lilfordi (Lilford's wall lizard)
Lineage: Eukaryota; Metazoa; Chordata; Lepidosauria; Squamata; Lacertidae
Source: the annotation of a GenBank genome assembly